UUGGUGUUUAGAUUACUUUUUUCUCCUGCACACAGACUUCUUGAACUUUCCCCUCUUUUUGCCAAGUUCUUCCAGGUAAGUUCAAGAAUCUUCAGCAGUAGCACCUCGUGAUAGUCUCCCAAGAGGAUCUUGCAUGUUGCUGUCUUACUGACUGUUGCUGGCCCAUCAUUUCAAUGGGGCAAAGCAGUGUUAGACCUGGGAGGAGGCAUUUACAAAUGGACCCUUUGAAAGUCUGAGUUCCGAUCCUUCACUUCUUUCUCUGGAAGCAAGGGUCCUUGCAGCUCACUUGCUUGGAAGUGGAACCUCAACCCUAAAAUACACAAAACCAAGCUGAUCUUUUGAACCCAGGAAAUUAUGUGGGUUUGACCUUCGACAGAAUGGAACCCAAACACAUUGCUUACAUUUGCUGGUAUGAAAGCUGGCAACAAUUGGUUAAAGUGAAAAGUAUUUAAAGUUGUUGUAUAUACAGCCUCCCUUCCCCUGGGCAUGGGGCUCUCACAUGGGGCUCUCACAGUGCCCUGUGUGUCCAGCACUUGGAGUGUCAUCCAGCCACAGACUCUUGACAAGAUCAGAAUAUGCCAGGAAUCAAACAAUGUGUCAGCCACACAGUGCUCAGUGCUCCCCAGUUCCCUGGAAACCCACUUGUUCCUUGCUGGAGGAGUGGAUUUAAGACAGUGAUCCCGAGAGCAUCUCAAUCAAGGCACACAGGUGACAGCAUCCCGGUCACCAGUUCUACAAUUGUCCCACAGCAGCCAGGCUGGCCUUCUCCUUGUGUGUCCCACAGUUCAGAAAGGGACUCUGAACAUGGAAUGUUUCCAAGGCAGGAAUUCAGUCUUUACCUUGUUCUUUGCUGUAAUAAAUCGUGUUUAGAUGAGGUACCAUCUCUGGAGCAGUCCCACUUCUCCACUAUGCUGAGAGUCCAUCCCUAGCUUGGCCUAACUUCUGUGACCAAAUUGCAGUAAGUGUUUUUUUGUCAGUGAUCAUCAUAUUUGGGAUGUCUUUGAGUGCAGUCUGUAAACUGCCUUUCUGGGAAAUAUUCUGAGGACAAAACACAGUUGAGGAAAUUUGGUCAGGUGGGUUGAUGGUCUGAAGUUCCUACCUGUCACUGUCUUUUUAUUGCAAAUAAAGAAGGCUGGAUAUGAGAAAAGAUAAAUCAUAUGAUUUGGAAGAAUUUUCCACUGGAUGAAAGGUAACACAGGUUCCCAGGUGACAGUGAGCUGGACCUGUUACUCCAGGGAAUACGAGCCAUGCUGUGCCUUACAUCACUGGCAGAGGACCAUGAUUCUCUUGCUUCCAAGCCAGCAGUCCUGGGCAGUCCUUGGUAGCUGCCCUGCAGAGAUGAAAGGCUUAGAUUAUCUGAGUUAAGGGAAAGGUUGCUCUCAACAGCUUCUGGCCCGCAUCAUGUGCUUUCCUUAUUUUUUUUUUUUAUUUAGAAACUAUUUUGUUUUUUUUCUUUUUUUGCUGUAGUUUUCAAUUUUUUUUUCCACUUUAGAUCCAUGAUGGCUGCUUGCUGAUGAAAGUAGAUGGAAUAGCAUAGGUUGAAAUACUCUGGGGAGAUGGGUAGCCUCCUUCCUCAAGGAGCAGGAAGUCCAUAAUUUUUUUGCUGUUGGUUUUCAGAGGUGAAAGUAUCAACCCAGGGUUUCCAAGCUCUUGGACGGACAUCUGUGCACUGGGGAAGGGCACCAUGCUGCUUGUGUGCCACAUUGCUUGGGUGUGCUUGCCGACUUUUUCUCCCCAAAGGAAAGCCACGUAAUAGCAUUUUUAUGUGAUUUUAAUUUGCAGAUUUUUCUAAAAUAUAGGUUUUGCAGUUAAUGUAUUGUCUUAUCUUGUAGUGGACUUGGCCAGUGCUAGGUUAACAGUUGCACUUGCUGAUUUUAAAGGGCUUUUCCAACAUAACUGAAUCCAUGGUUCUGUAAUGACUCAGAAGUGAGGACAUGUGGUGGAGGACCCUUUCAGUCCCGUGCACAGGCUGAUGUACAGAGGCAUGAAAGCAGCCUAAUGGUUUGAAACAUCCUUGGCUAUGAAACAAGGGGAAGUACAGGAAAAUAAAACAAAACAUCCACCAAA
Cinclus cinclus is the source of this 2067-nucleotide long non-coding RNA. RefSeq lists it as uncharacterized. The record is from RefSeq and is a predicted model, not a curated record. The transcript is spliced from 3 exons. Lineage: Eukaryota; Metazoa; Chordata; Aves; Passeriformes; Cinclidae.